UAGGGCGCUCACACUUGAAGGAAGUUGCACGCCAAAUGCAAAACCUCCGGCGAACUAGAUUUCUUUGCACUUUUUAUUAUUUUUAAGGAAAGCAGGAGGUGGCAGGCCUAAAAGCAAGUUGCAAGCGAAAUAGUCCAGUGAAUCACUUUAAAAUGGGAGAGGACUCAUUGUUUCAGAUUAACAAUCACCAUUGAAAACACUUAAAGUGGAGCAAAAGUGAUAGUGCAAUGGGUGGCCUGACAAUUCCAGCAGAGGAGUGGCAAUUCAUGAGUGCUGGAGCCGGAUGCACCUGCUUGGGGAGCUGAUUGCUAAGUUUUCAGGAAUUCUGUAAGUCAUUUGUUCAUCAUGGCCAAGAUUCAAAACUAAACCAUUUAGAAACUUACAAUUAAACAAAAUACUUAAAAAACCAAGGUAAUAAAUGCUCAAAACUUUACUUCUUAAUUGCUUUACCAUUAUCUAUGCUUUAAAGUUGUUUCUGUCCAUCCUUUAUAAUGCAUAUCCCAUAUAAUGGUGUGAUACAACAUCUCUUCCCAACUCUGCAUUCAGAAAUGUUAUCUCAGUAGUUUGAAAUCUAUCGUGAUGGAGUAUGUACACUAUAGAAAUUGGAAAACACUGCAAAUCAGAGCUUGACUUAUUGUGUUAUUGUCUAAACCUAAGAAAAUGAUAGAAGAAAAUUUAGCAAUAAAGAUUGAACGUCAAUGUGUGUUCAUUCAUGAAUAACACAAAAAACUGAUGAAAUAUUUUUCCAGUACUUGAAAACUACUAUCUGAUCAACAGAGAAGCACUCACAAUCAUUGCCAA
Molecule: long non-coding RNA, 801 nt
Organism: Bubalus bubalis (water buffalo)
Lineage: Eukaryota; Metazoa; Chordata; Mammalia; Artiodactyla; Bovidae
Exons: 3
Source: RefSeq, a predicted model, not a curated record